UCGUAACAAGGUUUCCGU
Molecule: ribosomal RNA, 18 nt
Filed under: Trebouxia higginsiae
Lineage: Eukaryota; Viridiplantae; Chlorophyta; Trebouxiophyceae; Trebouxiales; Trebouxiaceae
Description: 18S ribosomal RNA
Source: RNAcentral